UCCCACCCAUCCCACCACAAAACCCACAGGUUUGUCAGAACCCCUGGGAAAGCUGUGGCCCAUUCUCAAACGGGCUGGCCACAUCAAGGAAGAACCACGUCCACACAAACCUGUAUGCAUCUUCAGGAGUGGUCUCAGCACAUGUCCUACAAGAUAAUGCUUGACAACUGUGAAACUUCACAAGGGAAAAGAGUGUGUCAUUAUCUUCUCCAGCAUUAAAGAGUGGGCACGGUAUGCAUGAAGAAAUUCAAUGUUCCUUUGGAACUAAAAGGAACUGGAUGAUUCAAUAAACUACGUAGGAAUAGCUGAGGUUUCCUGGGAGGAAAGAUUUGUAAUGAAUACCUUCCUACGAACAAGUCACUGUGGUUGAAUAUGGUCUUGUACAAUCUCACCUUCAAUGGUUGCAUACUUCUCAGGUCCUGGCUGCUGAGCACAAACUCUUUCCUAGACUGGAGCCUGAUCUUAUUCAACUUUUUUACUGGAGGAAGAAUGGUUUGGAGGUGAAAGAAGUUGUGAUGCCUGACUAAGAAGAAAAUUCAGUUAUCUGGAAAGUUAAUAUGAAGCAAACAUGUGAAACUGGUGUAGCUCAGACUGGGAUCAUAUCACAAUCCUUUAGCUGGGGAGUAAAUUCCACAGCAGCUAAUGCCUCCCAAAGAAGGACAGAGACUGGAAUUAUGGUUUUAUCAAGUCCCUUUGGAAUUCUGAUACCCUUGUUAGUUCAAGAACCAUGCAGUAAAGGAAAGGCAGUGAGAUACAGUCUUGAUUUAACGGAAUGAUUAGACUCGGGAGAAGAGCAGAGUAGAGGAGGGCAUGUUACUGAGCAGUCAACAUCAACUUUCAGGCUAUUGUUCCAGGAAAAGAUUUCAUGCCACUGGCUGAACUGGGGAGAAAUCACCCCACAACUUCACUAUUGGAACUACUCUGUUGUAUUCUUUUCACUUAUCCUUCCUUAUAUGAAAUAAGACAUAUCGUAACUGACCUUGGGUUUUCUAAUUCCCAAUCUGUCUAUUAAAAAUUCUUACAAGUUAGAAUUGACAGGUUAUAUGACAUCUUAGAAUACACAUAAUGCAUAUAUAUAUUUAUAAGUGUACCAUUUUAUCACUCUGAACUUGAUUUACCUUUGAAAGGAAACAGAAA
This is a long non-coding RNA of Nannospalax galili (Upper Galilee mountains blind mole rat), 1137 nucleotides long. RefSeq lists it as uncharacterized. The record is from RefSeq and is a predicted model, not a curated record. NCBI's taxonomy places the organism in Eukaryota, Metazoa, Chordata, Mammalia, Rodentia, Spalacidae. The transcript is spliced from 3 exons.